Molecule: non-coding RNA, 73 nt
Organism: Ailuropoda melanoleuca (giant panda)
Lineage: Eukaryota; Metazoa; Chordata; Mammalia; Carnivora; Ursidae
Source: Rfam
GCCUGGCUGGCUCAGUCAGGAGAGCAUGCGACUCUUGAUCUCAGGGUUGUGAGUUCAAGCCCCACAUUGGGCG